This is a non-coding RNA of Potamilus streckersoni, 79 nucleotides long. Lineage: Eukaryota; Metazoa; Mollusca; Bivalvia; Unionida; Unionidae. The record is from the annotation of a GenBank genome assembly.
UGACCGCUCUCGUGGCUUAGUUGUUAGAGCGUCCGUCUCGGAUGCGGUAGGUCGCGGGUUCGACCUCCAGCCAAGUCAU